UCAAUACACACACCAUCAACAUUACCUUUAUUCAACAUGCUGCCACUGCAGCAUUGGGGGUUUUCUCUGAUGUUUCUCUCCAUCCUCACAGGAGUCAGCUGUGAAGAACUCACUCCAGUAGAGAAAGAAGAGAACAGUUUAGAAGACAGCUCUGUUACUCUGUCCUACAGAUACUCCAGACAAGCUGCUGGUAGUGAUCAGUUUUACAGGUAUCGACAAUAUCCAGGAAAACCUCCAGAGUUCAUCAUCUCUCAUUUAGGAACAGGAGGAAUGCUGACAAGUCCAAUCCCUGGACUGUCUUCUUCAGUGAGUGAGGAUAAAACCAAAAUGGAUCUGAAGAUCUCCUCAGCUAAGCUGUCUGACUCUGCUGUGUACUACUGUGCUCUGCAGCCCACAGUGACAGGAAAC
Etheostoma spectabile (orangethroat darter) is the source of this 408-nucleotide non-coding RNA. NCBI's taxonomy places the organism in Eukaryota, Metazoa, Chordata, Actinopteri, Perciformes, Percidae. The record is from the annotation of a RefSeq genome assembly.